This 311-nucleotide signal recognition particle RNA is filed under the name Otolemur garnettii (small-eared galago). RNAcentral's name for it is "Metazoan signal recognition particle RNA". It matches the Rfam family "Metazoan signal recognition particle RNA". Rfam says of the family: The signal recognition particle (SRP) is a universally conserved ribonucleoprotein. It is involved in the co-translational targeting of proteins to membranes. The eukaryotic SRP consists of a 300-nucleotide 7S RNA and six proteins: SRPs 72, 68, 54, 19, 14, and 9. Lineage: Eukaryota; Metazoa; Chordata; Mammalia; Primates; Galagidae. The record is from Rfam by way of RNAcentral.
GCCGGGCGUUGUGGCGGGCGCCUGUAGUCCCAGCUACUUGGGAGGCUGAGGCAGGAGACUCGCUUGAGCCCAGGAGUUGGAGAUUGCUGUGAGCAGUGAAGCCAUGGCACUCUACCCAGGGGGACGGACAGCUUGAGGCUCUGUCUCAAAAAAAAAAAAAAAAAAAACUGGGCCUUGUGGCAGGCACCUGUAGUCCCAGCUACUCGGGAGUCUGAGGCAAGAGUAUCGCCUAAGCCCAAGGGCUGGAGGUGGUUAUAAGCUGUGACGCCACGGCACUCUCCCGAGGGCGACAAAGUGAGACUCUGUCUCUU